UACGUAGGUGGCAAGCGUUGUCCGGAUUUACUGGGCGUAAAGCGAACGCAGGCGGACUUUUAAGUAGGAAGUGAAAGGUUGGAGCUCAACUCCGACACUGCUCCCUAUACUGGAAGUCUUGAGUUCUGGAGAGGAAAGCGGAACGACACGUGUAGCGGUGAAAUGCGUUGAUAUGUGUCGGAACACCGAUGGCGAAAGCAGCUUUCUGGACAGCAACUGACGCUGAGGUUCGAAAGCCAAGGGAGCGAACAGG
RNAcentral lists this ribosomal RNA (253 nucleotides) under uncultured prokaryote. Its description in RNAcentral is "partial 16S ribosomal RNA". It matches the Rfam family "Bacterial small subunit ribosomal RNA", at positions 524 to 776 of the family's 1533-position model. The record is from RNAcentral.